Molecule: long non-coding RNA, 283 nt
Organism: Rhincodon typus (whale shark)
Lineage: Eukaryota; Metazoa; Chordata; Chondrichthyes; Orectolobiformes; Rhincodontidae
Exons: 2
Source: RefSeq, a predicted model, not a curated record
AGGUACACAGUUCAAAGAUACUGUGUGUGAGGUGUGCCCCGAAGGAACAUACUCCAGCAAUGAUUCAUCAACUGAACCAUGUAUGGAAUGGACUAAUGAUAGUAGGAACUGCAGAUGCUGGAGAAUCCGAGACAACAAGGUGCAGGGCUGGAUGAACACAGCAGGCCAAGCAGCAUCAUAGGAGCAGAGAGGCUGACGUUUCGGGCCUAGACACUUCUUUUGAAAAUAUGUGCAAAAGACAGUCAACCAUUAUUUUGAUUUCAAUAAAAACCAUUUGAUUGAA